Molecule: non-coding RNA, 3905 nt
Organism: Sesamum indicum (sesame)
Lineage: Eukaryota; Viridiplantae; Streptophyta; Magnoliopsida; Lamiales; Pedaliaceae
Source: RefSeq, a predicted model, not a curated record
CAUCCGAUGUUUUUGUGCAGCGCCGAUGUAUGUAGCAUCUCGAUUCUCAAUUCUCAAAUACCCAAACGUUUCAAACUUUGAAGCCUUAGCUUCACGGUUGCAAGCGUCAAUUUAUCUUCCUUUCCGCAAAUAAAACUGGAAUCUGUAUGAAUUCUAUCAAAUAGAUACACACAUAUGUGCGCCUGGAUAAGUAAUCUUAAUCGCAGUGCUACACUGCUGCUGCUGCUGGCGGCGCUUGCUCUUUUCUCCAGUCACAUCGUAGAUUGUGGCGGCGACGCCGGCGGUGGAGGAUCGGAGUUGCAAUGGCAGACCCUAACCAAAUUGAACUACUCCUCUCAGAUUAUGCUCCAUCCUCACCUCCUUCUCCUCGUAACCGUCCCAUGGUCAGGUGAGUCAAGGUCCCUUAUGAAGGAAUUGGCUCAUAUGGUUGCAACUGAUGAAGUGAGGUUCGGUACCUUGAAGCUUAUGGUCUUGUACAGAAAUGUAGAGAGGAUGUUGGCUGAUGCACUUGGUGUUAGUGAUGGAAUAACAGUCUUUUACUACCAUAAUACUCUCUCUUACAAAUAUUCGGGAAGACUUCGAGGGCAAAACAUAUUAUCCUCUGUGCAUUAUGUCAUGUCGCUUUCUCCUAAUGAACUACCUCUUAAAUCUUUAACCACUCCAGAAGAAUUGAGUGAUUUCCUUCAUUCAACUGAUAAGGCUAUAGUUGUCAUGGACUUUUGUGGAUGGACUGCGAGACUGCUGGCUGCAAACAACAGUAUGACUGAAAGUGAUUUGGGAAAAGGUUAUUUUGGAGCAGACUUCAAGAAAGGGAACAAUGUAACUGUUGCUGCAGAAGAGAAGGCUAACAGGAAGGGUAUGGAAGAUGACAAGCUCAGUUGUGGUAGUGACAGUGGAUUUAGUGGAAUAUCUUGGCCUAGUCAGUUCACCUCUGUAAAUCAUAGUCUUGUGGAGGCCGAAAAUUCGACAUUUAGUGCUGGAGACUCCUGUACUUUGUAUGAGUUCCAGCAAUUUGAAAUGUUCUUGCAGAAGUUGAUUACAGUUGCUAGAGAGUUCUUCUUACCUCCUGAAAGGGUCAAAUUUUCUGUGGUUCAAGAAAGAUCACUUCUUUUGUUGCUAGAUAUUGAAGAGCCAGGUUCAGGUUUGAUGACUGUUCAUUUUCCUGGAUGUCCGAGUUGUUCAAAGGUCCUUAAAGAAGUUGAUGAUUUAAGAACAGUCCUACAAGCCCAGGCCUCGCCAGUUUUAGAGCUGGAAGAUGAUCCACAAGGAGUUGAGGCUAGUUUACCUGAAAAAAGCCCAACAAUGCUUCUUUUUGUUGAUAGGUCAUCUAACUCCAUGAAAAUAAGGCUAGAGAGUCAGAAAGCUCUCAAUGCUUUAAGAGAGCUAGCAGAACGCACUGAGAUGUUAAAUCUGAAUUGUGGACAAUCCACUCUCAGGAAUGGCAAGACGUCAAUUGAAACAAAUCGAGCAUCAUGGAGUAUCCCCAAACAUCCGAGAAUUAAGCCUUUUGCAGCAUCACAGAAAGUAAUUCUCAACGACAAGAUGUCUAUAAUAUUAAUGAAUGAGGGUCAACAAGUUACCUUAGAAAAUUUAGUUCCUGAUUUGCAAGGAAGCUCUGUGCAUGAGAUCUUAACUUACGCACUCAAGCGACAGAAGGAGCUAAAAUUAAGUUCACUUGCCAAGGAUGCAGGAUUUCAACUUUUAUCCAAAGAUUUUGACAUCGAAGUUGUAGAAUCUUUACCAUCCCAUACGGAGGAUCCGUCUAAACGAGUUUCAGUAGAAACACCUAUGUGUAAUGGUGAAAGUACUGAUAUAGACAAGAAGCACAUUCCAGCUUUUAGUUCCAGUAAAUUGCAUGAGGAGUUACCUGAUCAGUCUGAUGUUAGUGAGGAUCUGUCUAAUCGAGUUUCAGGCGAAACACCGGUUAGUGACCAUCUGGAAACUGCUGAUAUAUAUAAGCAAAUUCCAGCUGUUAGUUCCGGUAAAUUGCAUGACGAGCUACCUGAUCCUUCUGAUGUCAAAUAUAUUUUGCAGGAAGGCAAAGAAGAUUUUUUAGAUAAAAGUAGCCUAUCACCAGUAGAGCAUGAAAGUGGUCAUCAUAGUACAGGUAUGACAACUGAUAGCACUGAAAGAUGGAAUGUCAGGGAGAAAAGAUAUUCAGGAUUCGAUGAAAAUGCAGAAAAAGGUUUUACUGGUUCUUUUUACUUUUUGGAUGGUCAAUACAGAUUACUUGAAACUCUAACUGGAGGAACAAAGAUUCCAUCAGUUGUCAUAGUUGACCCAAUUUCUCAGAAACACUAUGUCUUACCCGAGCAGUCAGUUUUCAGCUACUCUUCGCUAUAUGCGUUUGUUAGUGAUUUCCUUAGUGGAAAGCUCCCUCCAUAUCAACAAUCAGCUGCUAUAGUUCCUAGCUCGAGAGAUUCUCAAAGACCACCAUUUGUUAAUCUGGAUUUUCAUGAGACGGAUUCUAUUCCUCUAGUUACUACCAAUACUUUUGCUGAGCUGGUUCUUGGUAGUAAAUCUGAUCGCAAGAACUCUGGCUGUCCUUGGGAUAGAAAUGUGUUGGUUCUGUUCAGCAAUAGUUGGUGUGGGUUUUGCCAGAGGAUGGAACUCAUUGUUCGUGAAGUGUACAGAGCAGUCAAUAGUUAUGCCAAUAUAAAGAUAAAUAGUACGAGGAAGGAGAAACUAAUGCUGACAGAAUAUGUUGGAGAUGCCGCAUUGAACCUUCCCCUUAUUUAUAUGAUGGAUUGCACACUAAACGAUUGCAGCUUGAUCGUAAAACCAAUACUGCAGCACUCAGUGGUUUUCCUUGUGGGUUUGAGGUUUGCUGGUUUUACUGUUGAUUAUCCUCUAGCACAACAUGAUGUUUUCUGUUUGCUCAUGCAAUGAGAUUUACUCCAUUAGUACAGUUCCCACCCGAUAAUAUUCUGGAAAUCCAUUGCUGAAUCUUUUGAAACAACUCAGAGUCCGGAGGAGUUUAAAUGUUAAAUAUGACAAGUGAUGGUACUACUUUCAUGUUCCUAAGGUUGCUGAUGCAGGAAGCUUGUGUAUGCUGGUACACAUAAAGCAGAUGCUUACAUAUUCCUUUCUCUAGGUCUGUAGGCCCAGAUGACCAGGUACCUUCCCCAUUAGACCAGGCAACUGGAUCUGGACCGAGUAAUGUGUUUUUAGCUCUAGUUCAUGCCUUACCCACUGAAGCUUUAGAAAAUGGUUUAAGGCUGAUCUCGAUACCUAGUCCUAGCUAAUUACCCAACUAUCCAACUAAACUUGACCUAAUCCACUCAAUCCCCUCUGCUUGCCAUACAUAUGUAGUAGACAAAGGCAGCCUUUUCUAUAUAACCCUCCUCUCAAUGGAACCUAGAACCUCCUAUCCAACUCAAUCUCCAGGGAAUGGAGAGAGAUUUCCUUUGUGGCAGCCUUACUAAUUCGUAUUCGUUUUUGAAGACAAGAGAUCCUUGCCUACUGAAUGGGAUUCUCGAACAAUGGAAAGACCCCGUAUUUUUGUCAUAACUUCUUCUUUCAAAAAGCAAGGAAAACCACCGCCUCAGUAUACCAUACCACAACCAUUAUGGCUGGGCCAAAGCCUCUCUUGAUCAGGACUUAAAAAACAUCGAUUAGUGUGAUACGCUGCCACACCAGGUCACAAACGCCGUUAGUCAGUAAUGCUGUGAGGUGGGUCUCAGCUGGGCUAAUGGUUAGUGGCUUGGCAGUCCUGCAGUUGGGGGGAGAGAUGUGACAAUGAAGCUCCCUGAUUAGAUCUGGUCCUGUCUGUAGGAGAAGGAAGUUUAUCCACUUUUGCUGUUAUUCCCAGCGGAAAGGAAGAACAACACUGUGUCUUAUGAAGGAGAGAUUGCAGUAUCUGAUAUCAUCAAGUUUUUGGCUGCUCAUGGGAGUCAUGUUCUAGA